Long non-coding RNA from Bombus impatiens (common eastern bumble bee), 2827 nucleotides. RefSeq lists it as uncharacterized. The record is from RefSeq and is a predicted model, not a curated record. Lineage: Eukaryota; Metazoa; Arthropoda; Insecta; Hymenoptera; Apidae. The transcript is spliced from 2 exons.
GAGCACGACACAGCAUGUCGCGCGCUCACUGCCAAUCAAGUGCCGCUCGGUUGGCCACAAAGGUGCUCUUCUAUCGUUGUGUGAAGCGGAUAGUUCAUGAUGGCUCCGGUGUGUUGGUAUAAUUGAAGUGACGGAAGCCCGGCAAGGUGUGGUGGCCACGUUCUUGCACGAUGUAAACAGCUCGACCAGGUCGAGCUCCAGUGCACCGGAUACCGUUGACGAAGACGGCCGUACGUGGUUUUGCCACUCGACAUUCUUCCACGAGUUACGCUAGUUAAUGGCGCGACGCCUCUUCUCGAUGUCGUAGUCAAUGGAUCGUUCGCUAUUGCUCAUCGACUUCGUCAUUCUUCAGACUCUUCAUAUUCUUCUAUCUUCAUUUUCCUAUAUUUUUCGCUGUCACAUAUGUUUAGGUGUUUUUGAUAAGUUUUGUUGAAUCUCUUUAAUUGAAUUAUUUAUCGAAGAUUACUUUUACGCGAAGCUUUUAUUAGUGGCCAUAUGAAAGAUUGGUGACAACACAGUGAUACGAAAAAGUGAACGUAAACGCUAAAGGACAGAUAAGACAAAGAGCGACGCUCAACGACUGUCUCCGUCUAAAAGAUGUAGCGUCGUUUCGUCGAAAACGUAGAAUAAUCAACGUGGAGUGAUUAAAUCGAGAGACUGCUAAGUACAUUAAAUUGACGUAACAACGCGAAGCAUCGGUCUCUGAGGUGUGAUUACACUUGCGGUAACAAUUUGCGAUAUCAGACUGCGUUAGUUGAAUACAUUGGAUUAGCUGUACUCCGUGAAUCGAUGGAAGAUGUAUCGUUACGCGAUACGGUUCAAGUGCAUCGUCGAGGAAAACAAACAGGGAAAUCAUAUCUGCUACCAAUAAGAGAAAAGUUCUAAUCUUUCAAUUUCUCCUAGCUUAUAUAGUGUAAGGUAACAUUCAUAGCGUAAUAGACUUACAGUGUGAAAGUAGACACGCACGGAGAUCGUAAUGUGGUUGUUGGUUGAUUAAUUACUAAUCGCGUUCUAAAUUGAGUUCGUACGAGCUAUCGUUGAUUAAAGAAGCUUGUUUAAAUACUGUUCCUACCCUCGUAUCGCGGUAACGAAUGUGUUUUUCACGUGUGGACUGCUCAUUAACCAGUUCACGAAGUCUGCAACUCAGAGACAACACAGGCGAUACACUGAUCAACUGGUCACCUCUGCGGUACAACUAGAUUGAUUGCACCGAAACUCUGGUUCCAGGCCAUUUCAGCUGACCAUCGAACGUCUGGCGAUUAAAAGUGCUCACGUGUAAAACCGCGUGGUUUGUCACGAGACGACGAUCGAACGCGAGGAAACAAAGGACAGGAGGUCGUUUACUGGCGCAGCGACUCGUGAAAAAGAUUUCUCUUUGUCCUAUGAGUCAGGCGAAUCGUAGAAUCUGAAGAGGCGUCUCGAUGUUGCUCUCGAACCUGGGCUGGAUGAAAGAGUAUGUUCAUCGAUCGACUCGGAGACCUUCGAUAAAAUCUUCUUCCGCGAGACGUCCUUACCUCUCUCUUGGCCUUAUCGCUUGAAACGCAGCUCUAGAGAUAGUCCAGGUCGACCUGUCGUCGGCUCGUGAGUACACGACGCGCAAUAAAAUCGCUGCAUGCAAAUCCACGCCGCUGCUAGUCUUCGUGGGAUCGUUUCGUGAAUAUUCAACAGGACUCGGUGAAACGGGCCAUUGAUUGAACAAAGAACUUCCGUGUGGAAAGUGACGAACGGUAUCGCGACGAUGAGGAACGACUUAACGGGGAACCUUUCGGCCCGGCCUUAUUAUUUCGCAUGACGCCGCAUACAGUUCGAUCGCGUCAUCAUGAACCUUGUUUUCGCCAGCCUGUCCCAGUACCGGUGAAUACCGGUGAAUUGUUUCGGGAUACUCGUUGAUCUACUGUCGCUACUGUGGAACAUCGCCGGUGCUUGAUGAGAUGAGCUUGUUGCGAUUCGGGCCUUUUAAAGAUGGUACGUCGAAUAAAUGGGAGAUGGGAUAAUCGAGAAACCAUAAAAUGGAAUCCCCGUUGAUAGAGGCAGCUCCGCUGUACAUCGAGCUUGCCAACGCAAAAAUACGUGAUGUGCAUAAAGGAUCAAAUAAAACGGAAAGCUGGUUAUCGCUGGAAAUGUAUAUAAAUGUACGGAAAUGUAUAAUGCAGUAUCGCAUUCCGGAAUUUCUGAUGCGAAUGUCCAUUACGUUGUUAUCUCAAGGAUCAUCUUGAUUACGAUAUAAAAAUGAAACGAUCCGAUUCUAGUUUACUGAUUUACUAAAUAAUGUCCUUGCCAUCAGUUAAAAGCUGAUAUCUUUUAGAUCUUAAAAAAGAUGGAAUCUCAUUUAGUUUCUGUAGGUAUCGAUUGGAAGACAAUGUUGCAAUUGUCCUUUAUCCUUUUAUCCUUAGAACAGAAAGAUCGAUUGGAUCAUUUUAAUCCAUUGACGAGUCGAUCGAAGGUAUUAUUCUUGUUAAAGAAUUUAAUUAUUGAACAAUUUUUUAACAUCGGUUGAUUCGAAUUAUUCCAAAUAUACUUAGGAUCCAUUUAUUUUCAUAUUUCAAACGAAACAAUUUAUUAGAGAAUAUGCGAUGAAUAUAGAGAUAUAAUAAAAAUAAUGAUGAAGAAAGGAUUAUAUCUAAGAGAUUGAGAAUUAUAUCAUUUUCCUCGGUUAAUACAUUAAAGAUUUCAUUUAAAGAUUCGCCUAAACUUAUGAACCAGAAGUAUCUAUAUUUUAACCAAUUUUAUUUUGCUCCUAUAAUAUUAAUUUUCCUUUUAAGUUUUUCAUAUUUCCUGAAAUCUACAAUAACUCAAAGCUUUGAUCAAUAAAUACAAAUAACUGGAA